RNAcentral lists this long non-coding RNA (561 nucleotides) under Homo sapiens (human). RNAcentral describes it as "HSALNT0094403". The record is from RNAcentral. Lineage: Eukaryota; Metazoa; Chordata; Mammalia; Primates; Hominidae.
GCCCGCUCAGCCGCCAGAUCAACCUUAGCGCUGGGGCGCGGGCUGGGGUCGCCAGGCGGUGCGUUCUGCCCGCGCGGGGCUGAGAGUUAGGGGCCGGGGCCGGAUCCGGGGCCGGGGGUCGCGCCGCUAGCCGCCAGCAGCGCAGUCCGGGCCGCCACCCUGCACCCUCCGCCCUGUUUCUGCACCCGUCUGGGUUCUUGUGCCGCCGCCCGCAAGCCUUCCCGAGCUCAGGGUGGUGAGCUGCGGAGACCCGUGAUAAUUCGUUAACUAAUUCAACAAACGGGACCCUUCUGUGUGCCAGAAACCGCAAGCAGUUGCUAACCCAGUGGGACAGGCGGAUUGGAAGAGCGGGAAGGUCCUGGCCCAGAGCAGUGUGGUGAGCGCUGUGCUGGAAGGGAAUGCGGGCAGUGGGUACUUGGUAGAGCACUGACUGCCUCCGGCCAGAGGACUUCCCGGAGGAGGUGACCCAUGAGCUGGAGUGGUCAGAGGAAGGCUGGCAAAAGGGCAUCGUGGACAGAGGAACAGCCUAUACACUUCCCUCUGUGACCAUGAAACUCUGGG